RNAcentral lists this ribosomal RNA (702 nucleotides) under Pseudomonas aeruginosa. RNAcentral's name for it is "bacterial SSU rRNA". It matches the Rfam family "Bacterial small subunit ribosomal RNA", at positions 56 to 753 of the family's 1533-position model. The record is from RNAcentral. Lineage: Bacteria; Pseudomonadati; Pseudomonadota; Gammaproteobacteria; Pseudomonadales; Pseudomonadaceae.
UGCAAGUCGAGCGGAUGAGAGGAGCUUGCUCCUCGAUUCAGCGGCGGACGGGUGAGUAAUGCCUAGGAAUCUGCCUAGUAGUGGGGGACAACGUUUCGAAAGGAACGCUAAUACCGCAUACGUCCUACGGGAGAAAGUGGGGGAUCUUCGGACCUCACGCUAUUAGAUGAGCCUAGGUCGGAUUAGCUAGUUGGUAGGGUAAAGGCCUACCAAGGCGACGAUCCGUAACUGGUCUGAGAGGAUGAUCAGUCACACUGGAACUGAGACACGGUCCAGACUCCUACGGGAGGCAGCAGUGGGGAAUAUUGGACAAUGGGCGAAAGCCUGAUCCAGCCAUGCCGCGUGUGUGAAGAAGGCCUUCGGGUCGUAAAGCACUUUAAGUUGGGAGGAAGGGCUCAUAGCGAAUACCUGUGAGUUUUGACGUUACCAACAGAAUAAGCACCGGCUAACUUCGUGCCAGCAGCCGCGGUAAUACGAAGGGUGCAAGCGUUAAUCGGAAUUACUGGGCGUAAAGCGCGCGUAGGUGGCUUGAUAAGUUGGAUGUGAAAUCCCCGGGCUCAACCUGGGAACUGCAUCCAAAACUGUCUAGCUAGAGUGCGGUAGAGGGUAGUGGAAUUUCCAGUGUAGCGGUGAAAUGCGUAGAUAUUGGAAGGAACACCAGUGGCGAAGGCGACUACCUGGACUGACACUGACACUGAGGUG